Molecule: ribosomal RNA, 465 nt
Filed under: Vreelandella stevensii
Lineage: Bacteria; Pseudomonadati; Pseudomonadota; Gammaproteobacteria; Oceanospirillales; Halomonadaceae
Description: partial 16S ribosomal RNA
Rfam family: Bacterial small subunit ribosomal RNA
Source: RNAcentral
CCUACGGGUGGCAGCAGUGGGGAAUAUUGGACAAUGGGGGCAACCCUGAUCCAGCCAUGCCGCGUGUGUGAAGAAGGCCCUCGGGUUGUAAAGCACUUUCAGUGAGGAAGAACGCCUGGUGGUUAAUACCCAUCAGGAAAGACAUCACUCACAGAAGAAGCACCGGCUAACUCCGUGCCAGCAGCCGCGGUAAUACGGAGGGUGCGAGCGUUAAUCGGAAUUACUGGGCGUAAAGCGCGCGUAGGUGGCUUGAUAAGCCGGUUGUGAAAGCCCCGGGCGCAACCUGGGAACGGCAUCCGGAACUGGCGAGCUAGAGUGCAGGAGAGGAAGGUAGAAUUCCCGGUGUAGCGGUGAAAUGCGUAGAGAUCGGGAGGAAUACCAGUGGCGAAGGCGGCCUUCUGGACUGACACUGACACUGAGGUGCGAAAUCGUGGGUAGCAAACAGGAUUAGAUACCCCAGUAGUC